RNAcentral lists this ribosomal RNA (395 nucleotides) under uncultured bacterium. Its description in RNAcentral is "partial 16S ribosomal RNA". It matches the Rfam family "Bacterial small subunit ribosomal RNA", at positions 523 to 918 of the family's 1533-position model. The record is from RNAcentral.
AUACGUAGGGUGCAAGCGUUAAUCGGAAUUACUGGGCGUAAAGCGUGCGCAGGCGGUUUUUGAAGGCAGAGGUGAAAUCCCCGGGCUCAACCUGGGAACUGCCUUUUUGACUGCAAGGCGAGAGUACCGCAGAGGGGGGUGGAAUUCCCGGGGUAAGAGUGGAAGGCGUAGAUAAGCGGAGGAACAACGAUGGCGGAGGCAAUCCCCUGGGACUGUUCUGACGCUCAUUCACGGAAGCGUGGGGAGCAAACAGGAUUAGAUACCCUGGUAGUCCACUCCCUAAACGAUGUCCACUGGUUGUUGGGUCUUCAUUGACUCAGUAACGAAGCUAACGCGUGAAGUUAUCCGCCUGGGGAGUACGGCCGCAAGGUUGAAACUCAAAUGAAUUGACGGGG